GGAGAAGCCGCACGCUGGUCCGGAGAAGCCACACGCGCUUCAGGAGAACCCAUGCGCUGUUCUGGAGAAUCGUUAGCUGAUCGAUGUAUUCCAUACCAUUUUGACCGGAAAUGACGAACUCGAUGGGGGCUUUGCCGACGACUUGCGAAAUGGGAAGAACGUCUUGAUAAUAUAUAUCUCUAUAGCUGUCUGUGUUGGAGGUACAUAUUGAAAGAUCGUGAAAGAUUGGGUCCAGUUAGCUUGCUUGUACGACUUUACCAUGCGGAGGAGACUUUUCUUUUCACCAUCGAUGAUAGUUCCAUCACUUACGUCGCAAUAGGUUCAAUCCAUAGAUGUCGACUGAAGUCGUCAAUAACCAUCAAAAGAUAUCGCACUCCCGAAUUAUGUUUGGGUAGAGAUGUCAUGUCUGCCAAAUCAGCAUCGUACUGUUCACCUGGCACGCCAACUUCAACACGUGCACGUUUAAAUGAGCGCCUAACUGGUUUAUGUAAACUAUAAUCAUCAAGACUCUGUAUAUAUCUUCUGAUCUUAUAUAUGCCAAGGAUUUUAAUACCUUGUGUUUUCAAUAUUUGGUGAACCUUCACGGGACUGAGAAAUGCACCACCAUUCUCCAAAUUAUAAUAUACGUCAUCUAUAAGUCUUGUUUAUGUACAAACUUUUAUUAACAUUGAUACAUAUUACAACGUUUUGUGAAACCAAUCUUCUUCACGAUUCAUGGACAUGACCAUUAUACCGACUCUCUCUUUCCAUUUUUCUGUUUUAAGUUCAUAACUUCUCCAUUCAGCAUUACAUAAUUGUGAAAUGAAAGCAUUUCUAGCACUUCUUUGGUUUUUAAAACAAUAAAGUUUCUUGAAUAAAGUCACGAAU
Molecule: long non-coding RNA, 867 nt
Organism: Mizuhopecten yessoensis (Yesso scallop)
Lineage: Eukaryota; Metazoa; Mollusca; Bivalvia; Pectinida; Pectinidae
Exons: 4
Source: RefSeq, a predicted model, not a curated record